ACCGUCACAUUCAUUACAUUUAUAGGCAAAGGCAUUAGAUAGGUGAUAACAUGAGUGACAUCUAAAAAGGUGGCCUGAAGUAAGGAUGAGGGAACUUUUCUGGCAAUAAUCAAGCCAAACAGGCUUCAUCAUCUUAGGUAAUUCAGCACAGGCUUUAUGAAGAAAGAAAUCACAUUCUGAACAAUAGUAAAAGGAAGCUGAGAUAGGUAACAUGCACCCCUCACAACAUUUAUCAUACCUCGCAAUUUUCUCACCUAACAUCAAGUCAUGCAUAUGCUUGAAAUGUUUUAUUUUUGUGGCUUCUCCAGCAUCAUUCUUCUCAAUAAUACAAUAGAUGGAGUCAAUAGAUUCACCAGGCAAAAGUGCCAAACUAUCGAUAGAUUUCUCAUCUUCAUUCUCAGGUGAAACUAUAUAAUACCAGCUUUUAUUUUUUGUCACGCAAUUCACAUGGGCAAUAAUUUUGCAAUCUGAACAAUAGUAACUGCCGUGCUCCGCAUUGACCUCAUCGUGACAAAUUACGCAAUCCCUAUUCUUAAGAUCUUCAUCAAGGAAAUAUGUGUGAAAAAUGGGAUGGUGAUGCCACCUGCUUUUGAUGAUGCGUGGCAAUGAAGUGCAUUGCUUAUGAACCAUAAUAUUGCAUGUAGUACAUAUGUAGGCAACAUGAUUUCCUUCAGUGCCACAGGCAUCACAAAUGAAAGGAGCUCGUCUCCAAAACAAGGUGAAUGGGUGUUGAUGAAUUUUAUCAGGCGAUGUUGGUACACAAUCAAUGUGAACAGCAACCUCGCAAGGCAAGCAACAAUAAACAAAUCCUCUUUCUUGGGUUUCUUGGCAUAUGUUGCAAGAAAACCUUUCAAUAUUGAAUUGGAGACCAAGAGGAUGUUUGCGGUGACACAUAUGAUUGAUUUUGAGAGGUAAUUCAGCACAUUUUUUAUGGAGAUGGAAUCCACAAUCAAGAGAAAAGUAGGUAGAACUUAGCAACGGUUUGCAACACCAGAAACACUGAAAACUUUCAAGUUCUUCACCAUCGUUGUCGGUGGAAAUCAAUGGAUCUUCAAGAGCAACAUGUUGAAGCUCUUCAACAUUUUUUUGAGCAAUAUUAUAUGUAAAUAAAGCACACGCGAUAUGAAAGUAUAAUUUGCAAGAGCAAUGAUAAAUGGAACCCUUACAUAUCUUAUCACAAAAAUCGCAAAUGCAGAAUAAUGCUUGAGCAUAAGGUGAACUUUGCAGGAGGAGGAGAGGAUGCUUAGGAUGAAAAGGGUGAUUGAUCUCCAGGGGUGCCUCAGCACAUCUCUUAUGGAGGUAAAACCCACACUCCACACAGCUAAAACUUGGAGCUGACAGUGUCACCUCCUCCUCACACCUUGAGCAGUAAGCUUCUUCACUGGGCGUGCUCUGCCCUUCAUUCAACACCAGGGGAUGCUCAUGUCCAAAAUUUUCAGACUCACUCAUCUCUCCUUUCUUUUUGUGUCUGCCCCUGAUUUGGAGGUUAAGAGAAAGGUUUCAACGCAAAAGAGAUUAAAAGCCAAGAAGGGUGCUUCCGGAUUUGGGAAAUUGGGAGAGAUUUGAGAGGGAGGUUCUUGGGAGGAUGGAAAGAAUCAAGGUCAACGCUCAUAUUUACUUGUUAGUAGCAAUUCUGCAACGAGUCUUUUAUUAUUAUUAUUAUUAUUAUUGUUAAAUUGGAUGCAUUAUUUGUCUGUGCGGUCGUCAUUCUACUUGCUUGGCUAUGUUAUAUCGUAUAUAAUAAAUAUGACACUAGUGGUAGUAAUUAACGUAUCUUUGGCAUCCUUUCAAUAUUUUAAAAUUCUUACAAAAUCUAAUCUAUAUCUAUAUAUAUAUAUAUAAUGAAUCUUGUCACAUAACCGUUGGUUUGGUUGUCAAUAAAAGCAGCAAAAAUGGGCUUCAUAAUUUACUCAUUUUGAUAGGCAACUCUACAUUAUACGGUAGGGAAUAUUUGAAACUAUUUUAAAAACCAUUACGCUAAAUGAAUUGAAUUGUCUACUGUUCCUCCUGGUUUAUAAUUAUCAUUUCCUUUUCCUUGAUUCCAAAAUAUAAAAAUAAAAAAUUAUAUUAAUAUUUUAAUGAUAAAAUUAUUAAUAAUUUAANAAAAUAUUAUAAAAAUAAAAAUUAUAUAAUAUUUUAAUGAUAAAAUUAUUAAUAAUUUAAUACUAAAUAUAUUUUUAAUAUUUUGAAAAGAAGAAGAAAUUGUAAAAGAAAAAUAAGAAAAGGAAAAUUAACACAAAAUAUCAUAUUAAUAUUUUAAUACUAUGUAAUAAGCAUUUUAUUAAAAAGAAAUUAAAAGAGAAAAAGGGGAAAAUGAAAAUAUAAAAAAAAUCAUAUUCAUAAUUUAAUAAUAAAUUAUUAAUAUAAUUUUAAUUAAAAAUAAAAUUAGAAGAAAAAAAUUGGAAAAUGAAAAUAGAGAAAUAAUACAAUAAUAAAAUAAAUAUCAUAUUAAUAUAUUUAAUAACAAAUUAUUAUUUACUAAUAGCAAUCCCAAAAACCAAUGAAUUUCAAAAAGCUCAAAAUUUUUAUUUAAAUUAUAAUAAAAGACUUCAUUUUAUCACUUAUUCUUUUAUGAUUGUAAAAUUAUUUUUAUCAAUCAAACACUGAAAUAAUGUCAAAAUUAAAAUUUCAUUUUAUUAAUCAAACUAUAUGAAUCUCUAUUUUAUUCUAUUAUAUCUUAUUCUACUCUAUAUAAUAAUUAUUUUAUGUUUCCUCUAUUUAAUUCCGAUACUCAAUUUUGCCACUUAUCUUUCCGUAGCUUUGGAAAAGGUGUUGCCUUUUAAAGGACUGAGAUCAAAGAAAAAUAAAGAAAUGAAGAGCUCAGAAUGGUGGAUAGAGAAGAAAGGCAUAUGUUGUCGUUGAAGCAAGCAGCAUGGAAAUGUAUCCGUGAACGUUACAGCCAUAUCUAGCCCAAAAGAGAAAAUGUCAGUUAUGUCCUCUACUCCAUCUAUUCUCCUAAGAUUACAAAGUAACAAACAGACACGUGUGAAACUGCUGUCUCAUUUGAUUUCAUGAUUUAUAAGCUCUGCUCUGCUCUGUUCUGUGCUUAACAGAGUUUCUAACAGCAGAUUUUGAUGGACCAAUCAUAUUCUCAUUGACUCCUCUGAACCCUUCCCGAUUACUCUGUCUUUCUCUCCUUUCAUGGCGAUCGCUGCUGCUUCUUCCUUCUCCGUCGGUAAUCACACUCAACCAGCAUAAUAUGUUUACGAUAAUAUGUUUUUUAUGUUUAAAUUGAUUAAUAAUAGCAAUCGAAAAAGCAGGAUAGAGAUUACGUUUUGUUAAUUGAUUAAGUAUCCAUUUCGAUUUCCAUGUUUUAAGGCAAAUACUUUUCCCUUCUUUUUUAUAGUUAAGUUGUUUUAGUCGAUCUGAAGUUGUGUAAUUAGUUUCCUGCUUGUUUGCUGAUGAUGAAGCAACUACUUCAUUUUACUACUAACUUUUCCCUAAACUUUUUUUUCUCUUGUUUAUUCCCAUAAUUUUAAAAUGAUAAGAAAAACUUGAAAUUGGGUAUUCCAGUAAUGUCAAAUUUUAUGUGUGUUUAAGAAGAAAGUAUUUUUUAACUGUUGAAUGAAGAAAAUAACUUUGAAAACCCUCACUGCGAAAAUUUUAUGAGAUUCAUAUAUCCUUUUUAUGGCUAUCAUUAGAAUACUGACAUGCAAGUGGGUAAGCUCAUGUUUUGGUUUCAGUUGAUUUUCAUUUAUUUAGUUGCUAAGAAUUUUUUUUAUAUUAUUUAUAAAUUUAUGAAAUGGGAUUAGUAGAGCCAUUGGCCUUAUCAAAUAGUUAAAACAGUAUAAAUUUCAUUUCACCAAGAAGUGAACCUUUCACAAAGUAAUUGGUACCUGGUCUUGGGUUCUAUAGUUGAUUUCCGGAUGCAUGUGGUUUUUACUUCUAAUAUGAGGUUUAGUACUUAUUUUUUUCCUUCAUACUGGAUGUGCAUAAAAUUCUAAGGAAUGCACAUUUGGUGAAUAUUUGUUUCUACAUUUUACUAUUCUAUUUAAGUAUGAUGUUUGCAUUUGCAUUUUCAUGACAUUUUUUUUAACCCCUUUCUUAUUGCACGGAGCUAUCAGGUCCUUCCCAGUGUCAUUUAUGUUAAGUGGAAGGGGUUUAUUACUCACCAUUACAUGGGGUUAACAGCAGUUGGGUCAAAACUACAGUUGAUGGCUGCAGAGCUAGCGACCUGUCUGGCAUGAGGUGCAAAAAUAGUUAUUUGUUUAAGGUUAUAUGGGAAAGAGAAAACCAUUUCUCGAUUGUGUAAAAUUGAUCUGGUUUUCUUUAUGGAUUUGUUUAUGAUUUUGAUAGCAGUAUUUGUCCAUUUCUUUGGGAAGCCAUAUAUUUUUGAAAGCUUAGAUUUUAUUGAACAUGCAUCUUGAUUGUUGAGUUAUAAGCAUAAGUUACAUAAUAUUUGAUAUUUUGGCUAACUGCAUUUGUUGUGUUAUGAUUGUUUAUCCUGAGAGUUUUUGGUAUUGUUGUAGUGUUGUCAGGUGAGAGUCAAGUCUGUGUUGUGAAUAUCAUUCUUUUUAGCUUAUUGUACAAAUUGGUGACCAGCAACUAUUUCUUUGCCCACCUGAGUAGGAAAGCAAUAAUAUUGUUAAAAUAUGUCUUGUGGAUCCUUUAAUUUGUUAAACUAUGGGUUUUUGUAUUAGCUUGGCUAAUGCAAUGAUGAUGUUGCGGGUAACACCGUAACACUUCCAUUGUUGCUGGAAGUUCUUGUUUGUUUUUGGUCAAGGGGAAAAACAUGUUCUAUGGUUCAAUUGCCUCCACUUCAAUGUUGUUUGAGUUCAAGGCAAUUCUACACCCAAAUAUGUUAACUUACUCAUGUCUGGUUGUGUAAUAUUAUAAGGUUUAGUUAAUAUAGGACAUUUAUAUGGAAUGAAUGUAGUGUGGAUUGUUUGGGAGAUGACCAUGGGUACAUUCAGUGUCAAAAAAAAAAAGAGGUAACAUGUGAAGCAUGGUCCUAUUUAGCAUCCAUCAACAAUUGACUCUAGUGCUUUCUAGGUCCCUUUUUAACUUUUGCACAAAUAAGUUGAUUAUUUAUAUACAAAUUAGACUACAUUUUACCAUCCGAUCUUCUUAGCUGUUUUGGAUUUUUUGCGACUUUUUCAUAUGAAACUUAGUUUUUUUUUAGAUCCUUGGUUAAGAAGCAAUUUUUCAUUUCAUAUUCAGAUGCAGGAGUCCAUUUUUUGAAUCAACAUAAUUUUAUUGGUGUUUAAAUGUAUAAACGUAUAAGUAUAUUAUCGUGUUUAAUCAUAUUAUGGUGUUUAAACAUGUAUACAUGACACGUUUAUCAAUUUGUUAAAAAUUAAUAAUCAAAAACCAUUUUAACCUUACUUAAAUAAUUUUGAACAAUUAUUUUAAUAAAAAUUUUAAAUUUUAUAAAGAUAACAAUGUAAUUAUGCCAUGUCUAACUUUAAUUUUAAAUUUUAUUUUAUUAUAUUUGAUGUUAUUAUCAUUUUUUUGUUAUAAUUUUUUUAUAAUUAUUGAUUUUAAAUUACAAUAAUAAAAUUAUAUUUAAUUAUAAAUAUUUUUAUUUAAUCGUGUUAAAUGUGUUACUAAUCGUAUUGUGUCAUAUAUUGAUAUAUUUAACAAAUGUGUUAAUUAUGUUUUAUCGUGUUAUACGAUUAUUAAAUAUAUAUGUAUACAUAUUUCAAAUUUAAAAUAUAAAUAGUAUUCAUAUUAUUUUCAUAUUUAAUUUUAAUAUAUUUUAUAUUUAAUCGUGUAUAAUUUAAGACACAAAAAUAUGAAUUGGUAGAUCUAACUACUCAAAAUUACUGCAAGUUAUUUAUUUUAAGGUGGGUAAAGGAAGGAAAAAAGUCAACCUUAACACUUUGCUUUUGGUAGCUUUGGAAAUGGUUCUGCUUUCUAAAGGAGACAUGAAAAUCUAUGAGGUCAUCAUGAGUGAGAUCAAGAAGAAUUAAGAGAUGCAGAGCUUAGACUGGUGGAUAAAGAAGGGGGCAGAUAUCGUUGAAGCAAAGAACCAUGGAAAUGCAAGUACUUCUAUCUACAACAUUUUUUGUUCUUACUUCGGACAGAUGCUUUAAUAGAAGCAUCAAAAUGGGUGCUUCAGCUAUUGCCUUUUAUUAAUGGUAGGUUAACAUCUUAAGUCAGUCAUCUAUAAGAAUCAUCAAACAAUUAUAGGAAUAUGACUAUAUGUAGCAAAAUGUCCUUUUACGAGUCAAUCAAGAAAAUUGUUUCCUACAAGCUGGACUCAGACAAAAAGAUAGCUAUUUUAAGAGUCAAAUUUUACUCAAAAGUCGUGAACAUACCUUGUUCCUCCGUACAGAGGAGCAUCCUUUAUCAACAUUUGUCUUACCACCAAAGAGCAGGGUUGCUUUGGGCUUUUGUACUACAACGAACCAUCACUGACCAAGCCUCUACAGCAGAUGGAGGAUAGAUGAGGACAGAUUGCGAAGUGAUUCCUGUUUCUCAGGCAUCCUUUGUUGUUCAAGCUAAUGUGUAUAAACAUUGAGAGAAGCUAAAUAUUAAAAAUUUCUCAAAAGUGGUUAUUCCAGUCAAAUCAUGGACAUUUCUAUACCAAAGAAGGAAUGUACAAUUCAGUAAAAGAAUCAGAUAAUAUCCCUGAAACUCCCUACUAGGCGUGCAGAACCCAAUCUAGCUACGAGGGUGUAAAUAUAUGUUUAUUGACAGGGUGCACUGUGAUUAUUGACGAUGUCAUCCACCAAAUGAAUUGGAAAGUUGACAACUUAUUCGCAGCAUGUACCUUCUCAAUACCAGAAUCUUAACAUUUUUUCAAAAGAAAUUCAGGAAGGGCAAUUAAUUGAGUCAUCAGAACCAUAUUCAGAAAAUAAAUCACAAUCUGACUCCACUUCAGAAUCAAGACCAUUUCCACAAGCUUUAUCACCAAGAACAAUCUUUGAUGGGUCCUCAAGACCUACAUUGGCAGUUUUCUUGUAUAAGCCCCUGCUCCUAUCCAUAAAUCCUUUUCUCAUCAUGCUUGCAAAUCUUUCUCUAAUAUCAACAAGGGGAUGUCUGUGAAUAAGUCGUUGACAAUCAUAGGCUUCCCUAAGAACAACAGUUUGUGUAUCACACAUCUUGGAAAUAUAAAAGAUGUCAGGAUGGCGCUCAAACACCUUGGUAAACUUCUGAGGCAGUGACAAUGGUUUAAGUAGAUUACUCACAUUUUGGCGUUCAGUUUUUUUCUCUAUCGUAAGGUGAAGAAACUCAUGAAACACGCCCACGAUUCUCUUCUCUGACACAUCAGUACGUGGAUCCAAGUGAGAGGCAUCAGCAUAAAGUGGAGUAUAAGGUGGUUUCUGCCAUUCUUUUAACCACUCCACGCAUUUCCUCUUCAAUCCAAAACCCCUUGUAAAUCCUAUUGGAAAGGCUAAACAGUUAUUUUUCAAAUCUUCCUCCAUUUGCAGAAAAGCAUUCUUCUCUAAUUGGGAGACAGCAAGUGUAUCAUUCCAUGAUAAAAGUUCCAAACCAAUGCAAUCAUCAGCAAGGUGAACAAAAGAAAAUAAAUCAGGGUAAUGUGCAAUGAAGGUUUUGCUGUAAUCAUAAUUUCAUAAAAAGUCAACAAGUGAUACAUUUAAACCACACAACAUAUACCAACUUUAUUGUCAUUACAACCACACUGUCAAAUUAAAGGGAAUUUCUAGAGUGAAUAAUCAAAAGCAAUCCAAGCCUCACACAUUCUAAGUGCAGAUGCCUACAUUACAUUUAAACUUAUAAUUGAAAAAUAAGUUACAAUUACAAAAUAACAAGCAUUACAAGUAACAAAGUAUGGACCAUACUCUGCUUAUGCUUUCCUGCAAAUGAAGUGGAAGUUUUCAAGUAUUUUGCUCAAUAAUACCUCCAUCUAAAUUUUUCUCGAGAUGUGAAAUUACCAUCAUAAAUUAUUUGGUGCUAUACAUCUCCAGUGAACAAUAUAGUUGCAUCCAGAAGUAACACAUUCGAGAGCCAAAUCUUGACAAGGCUUACCACAUUCAAUGCACUUAGGGUAGUAAUAAAUCUUCUUCACGAAGAUGAGAGGGUGAGGAUGAUCUCCUUCUUUGUAGAUACUCCCAAGUUUGAUAUAUGGAUAGUGUCCAAGAACACAACUCCUAUGAGCAGAAGUUUCACAAGUUGCACAAUGAAAAAACCAAUAAUUUAGAUCUAUUCCCUCUUCACAAACGUCACAAUAAUGACAUUCUGAAUAAUCAUUAUCAUCACUAUAAGUGAGUGCAAGAACAUGUUCAUCAAAUUUGUGUCGAGCUAUAGUUGGUAUUGCAACACAUGAAAGAUGCAAAGCAAAAUUGCAAUCCUUACAACCGUAUGCUGCUCUUAUAUCACCACCACAAGCACAACACUUCCCUUCAUACUCGAUAUAAAAAAGGAGGGGGUGUUUAUGUCCUUGACAUGUUAGAGUAUCAGGAGUUAGAGUUACACAUAGAAGGCAUACACGAUCGUCACAUUCAUUACAUUUAUAGGCAAAGCCAUUCGAUAUGUGCUGACAUAAGCGACAUCUAAAAAUGUAGUCUGAAGUGAGGAUGAGGACACUUUGCUGGCAGUCAUGAAACCAAACAUGCUUCAUCGUAGGUAAUUCAGCACAGGCUUGAUGAAGAAAGAAACCACAUUCUAAACAAUAGUAAAAGGAAGCUGAGAUAAGUAACAUGCACCCCUCACAAUACUUAUCAUACUCUACAAUUUGCUCACUUAACAUCAACUCAUGCAUGUGCUUGAAAUGUUUUAUUUUUGUGGCUUCUCCAGCAUCAUUCCUCUCAAUAACACAAGUGAUGGAGUCAAUAGAUUCACCAGGCAAAAGUGCCAAACUAUCGAUAGAUUUCUCAUCUUCAUUUUCAGGUGAAACUAUAUAAUACCAGGUUUCAUUUUUUGUCACACAAUUCACAUGGGCAAUAAUUUUGCAAUCUGAACAAUAGUAACUGCCGUGCUCUGCAUUGACCUCAUCGUGACAAAUUAUGCAAUCCCAAUACUUCAAAUCUUCUUCAUGAAGAAAAUAUUUGUGAAAAAUGAGAUGGUGAUGCCACCUGCUUUUGAUGAUGUGUGGCAAUGAAAUGCAUUUCUUAUGAACUAUAAUGUUGCAUGUAGUACAUAUGUAGGCAGCACAAUUUCCUUCGGUACCACAUGCACUACAAAUGAAAGGGAAUUGUAUCCAAAACAGGGUGAAUGGGUGUUGAUGACUGUUAUCUUCAACGAUGGGCAGGGGUGGGGUUGAUACACACUCAAUGUGAACAGCAACCUUGCAAGGCAAACAACAGUAAACAUAUCCUCUUUUUUGGGUUUCUUGGCAUAUGUUGCAAGAAAACCGUUGACUAUUAAAUUGUAGAACAAGAGGAUGUUUGUGGUGGCACAUAUGAUUGAUUUUGAGAGGUAAUUCAGCACAUUUUUUAUGGAGAUGGAAUCCACAAUCAAGAGAAAAGUAGGUAGAACUUAGCAACGGUUUCCAACACACGAAACACUGAAAACUUUCAAGUUCUUCACCAUCAUUUCCGGUGGAAAUCAAUGGAUCUUCAAGAGCAACAUGUUGAAGCUCUUCAAAAAAUUUUUGAGCAAUGUUAUAUGUAAAUAAAGCACAUGUGAUAUGAAAGUCCAAUCCACAAGAGCAAUGAUAAAUGGAAGCCUUACAUGUCUUAUCACAAAUAUUGCAAAUGCAGUCUCCAUUAACAUAAGGUGAAUUUUGCAGAAGGAGGAGAGGAUGCUUGGGAUGAAAAGGGUGAUUGAUCUCCGAGGGUGCCUCAACACAUUUCUUAUGGAGGUGAAACCCACACUCCACACAGCCAAAACUUGGAGCUGACAGUGACACCUCCUCCCCACACCUUGAGCAGCAAGCUUCUUCACUUUGAUUGCUCUGCUUUUCAUUAAACACCAGUGGAUGUUGGUGCCCAAAAUUUUCAGACUCACUCAUCUCUCUUUCCGAUUCGCACCUCUACCACAAUAGGUUUCAAAAGGAAAGGGGAACUUUGGCUAUAACAAAGAAAGAUGUAGUAAGGCCAAUGCUUAUAAAAUAACUAGAGUGUAGUAUUUCUAAUGGUAAUGCCUUAUUCCUUGCGUGCCGCCACAUUCAAAAUGGAAAAAAGAAGAAAGAAUCCCACAAAGGCAGAGACCUAACCAAACCAGGAAACAAGGUAGAUGCUUUGAUGGCAGGCAUAGCAAAAUAUAACAACAUAUAAAAGUAAAAAGCAAGUAUAAGGAUUGCAUGCUCUAUUCAAGUUUGAAACUUUUACUUUGUAAGUUUAAAGUUAGAGCAUCCCUUAGGAUACAAUGCAAGCUACUGAGGUCAAUGUUAUGACAAUUCUGGGCUCUGGCAGCAAUGAAGUUGUCUAAAUUUAAAAUCCUUCUAAUAUAUCUAAUGAAACAUGUAUGUAGAAUAAAAUAUAAAUAAGACCUUCAAUUAUUAAUUUAUUACAAUAUUUAUGGACCUUGACGUGUAUAAUUUAUUUUAUAUGAACUAAAAGAUUUGGUUUUAAGAAGAACAUAAUAUUAUGAAUACUUUUAUAAUAACCAAAAUAAAUAAAUAAAACAUUAUUAAUUUAAAUUCAAAAAAUCAAGAAAUAUAAUAAAGCACUAUUAUAUAGUCAGGCUCAAGGGAAGAAUUCUUAUAUAAGCCCAAGAACAAUCUUUGAUGGGACCUCAAGACCUACAUUGGCAGUUUUCUUGUAUAAGCCCCUGCUCCUAUCCAUAAAUCCUUUUCUCAUCAUGCUUGCAAAUCUUUCUCUAAUAUCAACAAGGGGAUGUCUGUGAAUAAGUCGUUGACAAUCAUAGGCUUCCCUAAGAACAACAGUUUGUGUAUCACACAUCUUGGAAAUAUAAAAGAUGCCAGGAUGGCGCUCAAACACCUUGGUAAACUUCUGCGGCAGUGACAAUGGUUUGAGUAGAUUACUCACAUUUUGGCGUUCAGUUUUUUUCUCUAUCGUAAGGUGAAGAAGUUCAUGAAACACGCCCACGAUUCUCUUCUCUGACACAUCAGUACGUGGAUCCAAGUGAGAGGCAUCAGCAUAAAGUGAAGUAUAAGGUGGUUUCUGCCAUUCUUUUAACCACUCCACGCAUUUCCUCUUCAAUCCAAAACCCCUUGUAAAUCCUAUUGGAAAUGCUAAACAGUUAUUUUUCAAAUCUUCCUCCAUUUGCAGAAAAGCAUUCUUCUCUAAUUGGGAGACAGCAAGUGUAUCAUUCCAUGAUAAAAGUUCCAAACCAAUGCAAUCAUCAGCAAGGUGAACAAAAGAAAAUAAAUCAGGGUAAUGUGCAAUGAAGGUUUUGCUGUAAUCAUAAUUUCAUAAAAAGUCAACAAGUGAUACAUUUAAACCACACAACAUAUACCAACUUUGUUGUCAUUACAACCACACUGUCAAAUUAAAGGGAAUUUCUAGAGUGAAUAAUCAAAAGCAAUCCAAGCCUCACACAUUCUAAGUUCAGAUGCCUACAUUACAUUUAAACUUAUAAUUGAAAAAUAAGUUACAAUUACAAAAAUAACAAGCAUUACAAGUAACAAAGUAUGGACCAUACUCUGCUUAUGCUUUCCUGCAAAUGAAGUGGAAGUUUUCAAGUAUUUUGCUCAAUAAUACCUCCAUCUAAAUUUUUCUCGAGAUGUGAAAUUACCAUCAUAAAUUAUUUGGUGCUAUACAUCUCCAGUGGACAAUAUAGUUGCAUCCAGAAGUAACACAUUCGAGAGCCAAAUCUUGACAAGGCUUACCACAUUCAAUGCACUUAGGGUAGUAAUAAAUCUUCUUCACGAAGAUGAGAGGGUGAGGAUGAUCUCCUUCUUUGUAGAUACUCCCAAGUUUGAUAUAUGGAUAGUGUCCAAGAACACAACUCCUAUGAGCAGAAGUUUCACAAGUUGCACAAUGAUAAAACCAAUAAUUUAGAUCUAUUCCUUUUUUACAAACGUCACAAUAAUGAUAUUCUAAAUAAUCAUUAUCAUCACUGUAAGUGAGUGCAAGAACUUGUUCGUCAAAUUUGUGUCAAGCGAUAGUUGGUAUUGCAACACAUGAAAGAUGCAAAGCAAAAUUGCAAUCCUUACAACCGUAUGCUGCUCUUAUAUCACCACCACAAGCACAACACUUCCCUUCAUACUCGAUAUAAAAAAGGAGGGGGUGUUUAUGUCCUUGACAUGUUAGAGUAUCAGGAGUUAAGAGUUACACAUCGAAGGCAUGCACGAUCGUCACAUUCAUUACAUUUAUAAGCAAAGCCAUUCGAUAUGUGCUGACAUAAGCAACAUCUAAAAAUGUAGUCUGAAGUGAGGAUGAGGACACUUUGCUGGCAAUCAUGAAACCAAACAUGCUUCAUCUUAGGUAAUUCAGCACAGGCAUUAUGAAGAAAGAAAUCACAUUCUAAACAGUAGUAAAAGGAAGCUAAGAUAGGUAACAUGCACCCCUCGCAAUACUUAUCAUACUCUGCAAUUUUCUCACUUAACAUCAACUCAUGCAUAUGCUUGAAAUGUUUUCUUUUUGUGGCUUCUCCAGCAUCAUUCUUCUCAAUAACACAAGUGAUGGAGUCAAUGGAUUCACCAGGCAAAAGUGCCAAACUAUCCUAGAUUUCUCGUCUUCAUUUUCGGGUGAAACUAUAUAAUACCAGCUUUCAACUUUUGUCACGCAAUUCACAUGGGCAAUAAUUUUGCAAUCUAAACAAUAGUAAUUGCCGUGCUCUGCAUUGACCUCAUCGUGACAAAUUGUGCAAUCCCCAUUCUUAAAAUCUUCAUCAUGAAGGAAAUAUGUGUGAAAAAUGUGAUGGUGAUGCCACCUGCUUUUGAUGAUGCGUGGCAAUGAAAUGCAUUUUUUAUGCACUAUAAUAUUGCAUGUAGUACAUAUGUAGGCAACAUAAUUUCCUUCAGUGCCACAUGCAUUACAAAUGAAAGGAGCUUGUCUCCAAAACAAGGUGAAUGGGUGUUGAUGACUUUUAUCUUCAACGAUGGGCAGGGGUGACAUACACUCAAUGUGAAAAGCAACUUUGCAAGGAAAACAAUAAUAAACAAAUCCUCCUUGUUGGGUUUCUUGGCAUAUGUUGCAAGAAAACCUAUCACUAUUGAAUUGUAGCACAAGAGGAUGUUUGCGGUGACACAUAUGAUUGAUUUUGACAGGUAAUUCAACACAUUUUUUAUGGAGAUGGAAUCCACAAUCAAGAGAAAAGUAUGUAGAACUUAGCAACGGUUUCCAACACCCGAAACACUGAAAACUUUCAAGUUCUUCACCAUCAUUUCCGGUGGAAAUCAAUGGAUCUUCAAGAGCAAACAUGUUGAAGCUCUUCAAAAAUUUUUCGAGCAAUGUUAUAUGUAAAUAAAGCACAUGUGAUAUGAAAGUCUAAUCCACAAGAGCAAUGAUAAACGAAGGCCUUACAUGUCUUAUUACAAAAAUCGCAAAUGCAGCGUACUCCUUGAGCAUAAGGUGACUUUUGCAGGAGGAGAAGCGGAUGGUUGCGAUGAAAAGGGUGAUUCAUCUCUGAGGAUGCCUCAGCACAUUCUUAUGGAGGUGAAACCCACACUCCACACAGCUAAAACUUGGAGCUGACAGUGACACCUCCUCCCCACACGUUGAGCAGUAAGCUUCUUCACUUUGAUUGCUCUGCUUUUCAAUAAACACCAGUGGAUGUUGGUGCCCAAAAUUUUCAGACUCACUCAUCUCUCUUUCCGAUUCGCACCUAUACCACAAUAGGUUCCAAAAGGAAAGGGGAACUUUGGCUAUAACAAAGAAAGAUGUAAUAGGGCCAAUGCUUAUAAAAUAAAGAGAGUGUAGUAUUUCUAAUGCUAAUACCUUAUUCCUUGCGUGCCGACACAUUCAAAAUGGAAAAAAGAAGAAAGAAUCCCACAAAGGCAGAGACCUAACUAAACCAAGAAACAAGGUAGAUGCUUUGAUGGCAGGCAUAGCAAAAUAUAACGGCAUAUAAAAGUAAAAAGCGAGUAUGAGGAUUGCAUGCUCUAUUCAAGUUUGAAACUUUUACUUUGUAAGUUUAAAGUUAGAGCAUCCCUUAGGAUACAAUGCAAGCUACUGAGGUCAAUGGUAUAACAAUUCUAGGCUCUGGCAGCAAUGAAGUUGUCUAAAUUUAAAAUCCUUCCAAUAUAUCUAAUGAAACAUGUAUGUAGAAUACAAUAUAAAUAAAUAAAUAAAAACAUUAUUAAUUUAAAUUAUUAAUUAUUAAUUUAUUACAAUAUUGAUGGACCUUGAUGUGUAUAAUUUAUUUUAUAUGAACUAAAAGAUUUGGUCUUAGGAAGAACAUAAUAUAAUGAAUACUUUUAUAAUAACCAAAACAAAUAAAAAAAACAUUAUUAAUUUAAAUUCAAAAAAUCAAGAAAUAUAAUAAAGCACUAUUAUAUAGUCAGGCUCAAGGGAAGAAUUCUUAUAUAUUUUGUGUCUUCCUAAUUAAGGAAAUUGAAGGAGGAAGAAGCUGGUGGGGGAAUUCGUUGCCUUCUUGAAGAAGCUUAUAUCAUAGGUUUCAUGAAAAGUUAUCUGCCACCAAAGUUGAAAAACUGCUGCUAGCCUUGGUUGGUUACUGGUUUCUUUAGGCUCAUUACGUUUUCUUUUUCCAAAAUUGUUGCUUUUGUGUCGUGUUGGUCAGUUGAACCAUUUGGCUAUUGCAGUUUCCAGUGACAAAAUCACAAUAUUGCUACAUGUUGGGCUAUGGUUAAAUAGUAACAGAGUUAAGAGGACAAGUUUGAGCAAUUGAAUAUAGGUAUUCUUUUAUGACAAAAAAAUUUAGUAGAGGGACAAAUGAUACUAAUAACAAUCCAUUUAAAUCAGCGAAACUUUGUACCAAAGAAAAGGAUCGAAGUUCCAUGUCAUACAUGUGAGAGGUCAUCUUUUUGGAACAUAUUACUCCUUUCUUCCAAAGUUGGCAGCACCCCCUCAAUUAACUCUCAACAGUGAAAGUAAUACAUUAAACAUGCCAACUACCUAAUCUUGCCCUACACUGUAGUACAACAUGCUUUUUGGAUUUCUUUUUCCAAUUUGUGCAAUAAAAUAUUAAAAAAAAAAGGCAGUAUGUUCCGUUUGUGACAGAGGGCCUCCAAGCUUAAGCAGGUACCAGACUAGGAAGAACAUGGAAAACUCAAGUAACUUACAAAGGAUAAACAACUCCACUUCAAAUAAGCAUCACACCAGUCAAAAUUUUUAACAAUCACAUUUUAGAUUGGCUGGAAUACAAUCUUUUCUUUUUUUUCCUUCAAGAGAUGCAAAUGGUACUCCUGCACACAUUUUCCCACAAAUGAAACCCAUAUAAACAUCAACUGUAACCGGAAAUUAUUAUAGAAUUUAAAGGUCAGUCAUAUAUAAGAAUCAUCAAUAAAUUAUGGGAAUAUGACCAUAUGCUGCAAAAUGUCCUUUUGCGAGUCAAUCAAGAAAAUUGUUUCCUACUGGCUGGACUCUAACCAAAAAUAUAGCUAUUUAAAGAGUCAAAUUUUACGCAGAAGUCCUGAACAUACCUUGUUUCUUAGUAAAGAGGCGCAUCCUAUCUCCACAUUCGUCUUACCACCAACGACCAUGGUUGCUUUAGGCUUUUGUACUACUAUGAGCCAUCACUGACCAAGCCUCUACAACAGAUGCAGCAUAGAUGAGGACAGAUUCCUGUUUCUGAGAGCAGCUAAAUAUUCAAAAUUUCUCAAAAGCUGCUAUUCCAGCCAAAUCAUGGGCAUUUGUGUACCAAAAAAGAAAUGUACAAUCCAGUAAAAGAAUCAGAUAAUAUCCCCGAAACUCCCUACCAGGAGUGCAGAACCCAAUCUAGCUACAAGGGUGUAAAUUAUAUGUCUAUUAAAUAUACAUGAUCUCUAGUGACAGGUGCACUGUGAUCAUUGACAAUCUCAUUUACCAAGUGAAUGGAAAAGUUGACAACCUGUUUGCAGCAUAUACCUUCUCAACACCCCAGUCUAAACAUUUCUUUAAAAGAAAUUCAGGAAGGGCAAUUAAUUGAGUCAUCAGAAUCAUAUUCGGAAAAUAAAUCACAAUCUGACUCCACUUCAGAAUCAAGACCACUUUCACCCGCUUUAUCACCAAGAACAAUCUUUGAUGGGUCCUCAAGACCUACAUUGGCAGUUUUCUUGUAUAAGCCCCUGCUUCUAUCCAUAAAUCCUUUUCUCAUCAUGCUUGCAAAUCUUUCUCUAAUAUCAACAAGUGGAUGUCUCUGAAUAAGUUGUUGACAAUCAUAGGCUUCCCUAAGAACAACAGUUUGUGUAUCACACAUCUUGGAAAUAUAAAAGAUGCCAGGAUGGCGCUCAAACACCUUAGUAAACUUCUGAGGCAGUGACAAUGGUUUGUGUAGAUUACUCACAUUUUGCCAUUCAGUUUUCUUCUGUAUGGUAAGGUGAAGAAGCUCAUGAAACACGCCCACAAUUCUCUUCUCUGACACAUCAGUACGUGGAUCCAAGUGAGAGGCAUCAACAUAAGGUGACGUAUAAGGUAGUUUCUGCCAUUCUCUUAACCACUCCGUGCAUUUCCUCUUCAAUCCAAAACCCCUUGUAAAUCCUAUUGGAAAUGCUAAACAGUUAUUUUUCAAAUCUUCCUCCAUUUGCAGAAAAGCAUUCUUCUCUAAUUGGGAGACAGCAAGUGUAUCAUCCCAUGAUAAAAGUUUCAAACCAAAGCGAUCGUCAGCAACGUGAACAAAAGAAAAUAAAUCAGGGUAACAUGGAAUGAAGGUUUUGCUGUAAUUAUAAGGCAAUCCCAUAUCCCAUUUCAGCUGGUCGAUAGUUUGUAAGGGAAGGGUCCUAUCCUUGGUAAGCAUCAGCAAUUUGCAGAGCCUGUCAAGCAAAUCAAUCACACUCUCCUGGAUAACACCAACUUCUUCAUGGUAAAGAUUUAAGGCUUCGGCGGUCAACUCAAAGCAAGGAACACGAGUGCCACUGCUGUCAAACACAUAAGACUCAUGAAAAGUAGUAGGGUAUCUCCUCAUAAAUGUGGAUAGCUUAAGAUCAUGGGGCAGACCGAGUUGACCACGAUACCAGGUAAGAUGGUAAAUGGGGAGACGGCAAUUGGAAGCAGAGGAAAUGAUGGAAACAAGAUUGCAGGCUGCUCUUAAAUCUCUUUCAGCAGCAAUAACGGCAUCUAAGGCUUUAUCUUUAACCCAUUUCAACUUAACAUAAACUAGACUGAAAUUCUGCUGGUAAUUAAAUCCCCUCCUCAACAAACAUGAAAAGCUAGAAACUUUAGCUUUUCCACACAAAAACCACUAACCCAUGUCCUUAUUUAAAUAGAAAAAUGAUUAUAAAUCAAUAAUAAGAUGCUCCCAAGUUCACCAAUAAAACAGCCUUAGCAACAUCUACAGUGACAAAGACAAAUACCCAGAUUAAGAUUUUUGGUAAAUUCUGCAUAAACUGCUUGGUAAAGUAAAUAAACAAGAGAAAAAGACCAAAAAGGAAAAAUAGUUAAUUCCUCUGAGACAAUUUAUCAAACAUAAUGCCGCGAUAUGAAAACUGCUUACCUUAAUGAGGCUGAGCUGAAACACCUCAACGAUUAAAACUUGGAUGUCCUUUUAGAGGUUUUAAGUUUGAAUCUUGAGAAGAGACUGAGAAGCGUGAGAUUAUAAUCAUUACCAAAAAAAAAAUUGAAAGCAAAAUAUUUUAAAAAGUCGUGCGAAAUUUUCAAUUUGAAAGUAAAUUUGUGUCUGAGUGCAGCAAAAGCACUUUUAUUUUCAGGUAUUAACCAAGUACAGUAAGGAUUUAUAACAAUUUGAGUGCAUGAAUGGCAGGAGCAAGAAUGUUUUUGGAAGCAUAUUCAGUUGCUUGCAUUGAACACUAAACGGAAUGGGAGUGUAAUUUGCCACAUAUUGGUACAAAAACUAGUUUAAUUAGAAAAAAAAAUUUGAGACCCAAAUUUUACUUUCCUAGAAAAAAAAAUAACAUGCCUAAAUAAUCAUAUGUUUUGUAUUUACAUCUAUGAUUAGAGUUUUAUGUAAUUUUAUCAAUAUAAUAGAGUUAGAUUAAACCCUUUCAUAAGUUUAAACUAUCACUUCUUUAUUUUUAUUUUUCUGUUUUAUCAUUUAAGAAUAGUUAAAAUUGAAACUUAUUUUUCUUCAAAAAAAAAACUUAUUUAUGAAAUUAUGAUAAAAAUUUUCAAAUUUGACUUGAAAACUUUUACAUGUAAUGAAGUAAAAUAAAACUUUAAUCUUCACUUUCCAAGUUCAAAUUUUAUGGUUGAAAUAAAAAAAAUUAGCAACAAAAAGAGUUAAUGGAAGAAUGAGAUGAAAUAAUUUCAUACAAAGUCAACAAGUGAUACAUUUAAACAAUACAACAUGUACCAACUUUAUUGUCAUUACAAUCACACUGUCAAAUUAAAGGGAAUUUCUAGACUAAAUAAACAAAAGCAAUCCAAACCUCACACAUUCUAAGUUCAGAUGCCUACAUUACAUUUAAACUUAUAAUUGAAAAAUAAGUUAUAAUUACAAAAAUAACAAGCAUGACAAGUAACAAAGUAUGGACCAUACUCUGCCUGGGUUUCCUUGCAAAUUAAGUGGAAGUUUUCAAGUAUCUUGACCAAUAACACUUCUGUCCUGCCUUUUCUCAAGAAGAGAAUUACUCUCAUAGAUCAAUUGGUUCUGUACAUUUCCAAUGGACAAUAUAGUUACAUCCAAGAGUAGCACAUUCAAGAGCCAAUUCUUUACAAGGCUCACCACAUUCAAUGCAUUGAGGGUAGUAAUAAAUCUUCUUCACAAAGAUGAGAGGAUGUGGAUGAUCUCCUUCUUUGUAGGUACUCCCGAGUUUGAUAUAUCGAUAGUCUUCAAGAACACAAUCCUUAUGAGCAGAAGUAUCACAAGUUGCACAAUGAUAAAACCAAUAAUUUGAAUUUCUUCUCUCCUCACAAAUGUCACAAUAAUGACAUUCUGAAUAAUCAUUAUCAUCUUUAUAAGUGAGUACAAAAACAUGUUCAUCGCAUUUGUGUCGAGUUGUAGUUGGUAGAGCAACACAUGUCACACAUAAAGCAAAAUUGCAACCCUUACAACAGUAUCCUUCAUCCAUGUCAUCACCACAACCACAACACUUCCCUUCAUACUCGACAUAAAGAAGGAGGGGGUGUUUAUGUCCUUGACAUGUUAGAGUAUCAGGAGUUAGAGACAUACAUCGAAGGCAUACACGAUCGCCACAUUCGUUACAUCUAUAGGCAAAGCCAUUGGAUAGGUAACGACAUGAUUCACAUCUAAAAAUGCAGUCAGAAAUGAGGAUGAAGGAACUUUGCUGGCAAUAAUGAAACCAAACAUGCUUCAUCAUCUUAGGUAAUUCAGCACAGGCUUUAUGAAGAAAGAAAUCACAUUCUAAACAAUAGUAAAAGGAAGCUGAGAUAGGUAACAUGCACGCCUCACAAUAUUUAUCAUACUCCGCAAUUUUCUCACUUAACAUCAACUCAUGCAUAUGCUUGAAAUGUUUUAUUUUUGUGGCUUCUCCAGCAUCAUUCCUCUCAAUAACACAAGUGAUGGAGUCGAUAGAUUCA
Molecule: long non-coding RNA, 19349 nt
Filed under: Theobroma cacao (cacao)
Lineage: Eukaryota; Viridiplantae; Streptophyta; Magnoliopsida; Malvales; Malvaceae
Description: long non-coding RNA (TCAC_LNC002706)
Source: RNAcentral